Molecule: ribosomal RNA, 119 nt
Filed under: Tunga penetrans (chigger)
Lineage: Eukaryota; Metazoa; Arthropoda; Insecta; Siphonaptera; Hectopsyllidae
Description: partial 5.8S ribosomal RNA
Rfam family: 5.8S ribosomal RNA
About the family: 5.8S ribosomal RNA (5.8S rRNA) is a component of the large subunit of the eukaryotic ribosome. It is transcribed by RNA polymerase I as part of the 45S precursor that also contains 18S and 28S rRNA.
Source: RNAcentral
GAAGAACGCAGCUAAUUGCGCGUCAGCAUGUGAACUGCAGGAUACAUGAACAUUGACAUUUCGAACGCAUAUUGCGGUCCUCGGAUACUGUUCCCGGACCACACCUGGCUGAGGGUCGU